UGGGGAAUCUUCCGCAAUGGGCGCAAGCCUGACGGAGCAACGCCGCGUGAGUGAAGAAGGGUUUCGACUCGUAAAGCUCUGUUGUCGGGGACGAAUGUGGAGGUUGUGAAUAACAGCUUCCAAUGACGGUACCUGACGAGGAAGCCACGGCUAACUACGUGCCAGCAGCCGCGGUAAUACGUAGGUGGCGAGCGUUGUCCGGAAUUAUUGGGCGUAAAGGGAGCGCAGGCGGGAGAUCAAGUCUAUCUUAAAAGUGCGGGGCUCAACCCCGUGAGGGGAUGGAAACUGGUCUUCUUGAGUGCAGGAGAGGAAAGCGUGGGGAGCAAACAGGAUUAGAUACCCUGGUAGU
Molecule: ribosomal RNA, 349 nt
Filed under: uncultured Mitsuokella sp.
Lineage: Bacteria; Bacillati; Bacillota; Negativicutes; Selenomonadales; Selenomonadaceae
Description: bacterial SSU rRNA
Rfam family: Bacterial small subunit ribosomal RNA
Source: RNAcentral